Molecule: long non-coding RNA, 446 nt
Organism: Urocitellus parryii (Arctic ground squirrel)
Lineage: Eukaryota; Metazoa; Chordata; Mammalia; Rodentia; Sciuridae
Source: RefSeq, a predicted model, not a curated record
CGACGGGAAAAGGGCGCCUGCGCUGCGUUUAUGACGUACUCGGCAGCGGCUUUAAGGCAAUUGCUCACUCUAGGGAAAGCCAGUUACCAUGCAAUGAAGAGGAUUAAGCAGCUCUGUGAAGAUACUAAGAGGGCCAAAUGGGAAGGAAGUAAGCUUCCUGCCAACAGUCUGCACCAGACAUAACACUUUGAAUCUGAACUCCAUGAUCCAGCAUAACAGAAGAGGAAGGAGGUCUUGCCAACACUGCUUCUGCCAAUGAUGAGCAGCUUGAACAUAUAGUCAAAAUUCUGGUCAGAGGCAUCUUUGACUCCAGUUUUAUCACUGCUCACUGAAGCCAUCUGCAAGAGAGACCUAUGGUCAGUUGGCUACUUUGAGUCACCAACCUUCCAAUGGUCCUAUUACCUGAUGUUGGAAAAAGAUAAUAUUACUCAGCAAUAAAAGAGAAU